Molecule: ribosomal RNA, 1197 nt
Filed under: Micrococcus sp. 2L
Lineage: Bacteria; Bacillati; Actinomycetota; Actinomycetes; Micrococcales; Micrococcaceae
Description: bacterial SSU rRNA
Rfam family: Bacterial small subunit ribosomal RNA
Source: RNAcentral
GGGCUACCAUGCAGUCGAACGAUGAAGCCCAGCUUGCUGGGUGGAUUAGUGGCGAACGGGUGAGUAACACGUGAGUAACCUGCCCUUAACUCUGGGAUAAGCCUGGGAAACUGGGUCUAAUACCGGAUAGGAGCGCCUACCGCAUGGUGGGUGUUGGAAAGAUUUAUCGGUUUUGGAUGGACUCGCGGCCUAUCAGCUUGUUGGUGAGGUGAUGGCUCACCAAGGCGACGACGGGUAGCCGGCCUGAGAGGGUGACCGGCCACACUGGGACUGAGACACGGCCCAGACUCCUACGGGAGGCAGCAGUGGGGAAUAUUGCACAAUGGGCGCAAGCCUGAUGCAGCGACGCCGCGUGAGGGAUGACGGCCUUCGGGUUGUAAACCUCUUUCAGUAGGGAAGAAGCGAAAGUGACGGUACCUGCAGAAGAAGCACCGGCUAACUACGUGCCAGCAGCCGCGGUAAUACGUAGGGUGCGAGCGUUAUCCGGAAUUAUUGGGCGUAAAGAGCUCGUAGGCGGUUUGUCGCGUCUGUCGUGAAAGUCCGGGGCUUAACCCCGGAUCUGCGGUGGGUACGGGCAGACUAGAGUGCAGUAGGGGAGACUGGAAUUCCUGGUGUAGCGGUGGAAUGCGCAGAUAUCAGGAGGAACACCGAUGGCGAAGGCAGGUCUCUGGGCUGUAACUGACGCUGAGGAGCGAAAGCAUGGGGAGCGAACAGGAUUAGAUACCCUGGUAGUCCAUGCCGUAAACGUUGGGCACUAGGUGUGGGGACCAUUCCACGGUUUCCGCGCCGCAGCUAACGCAUUAAGUGCCCCGCCUGGGGGAGUACGGCCGCAAGGCUAAAACUCAAAGGAAUUGACGGGGGCCCGCACAAGCGGCGGAGCAUGCGGAUUAAUUCGAUGCAACGCGAAGAACCUUACCAAGGCUUGACAUGUUCUCGAUCGCCGUAGAGAUACGGUUUCCCCUUUGGGGCGGGUUCACAGGUGGUGCAUGGUUGUCGUCAGCUCGUGUCGUGAGAUGUUGGGUUAAGUCCCGCAACGAGCGCAACCCUCGUUCCAUGUUGCCAGCACGUAAUGGNGGGGACUCAUGGGAGACUGCCGGGGNCACUCGGGAGAAGGUGAGNCGACGUAUCAUCAUGCCCUGCUUGGGCUUCACGCAUGCUACAGGUGGCGAAUACUAGGGGUGGACUUAUUCCCAAAAA